Molecule: transfer RNA, 64 nt
Filed under: Saphonecrus sp. ZJUH 20220015
Lineage: Eukaryota; Metazoa; Arthropoda; Insecta; Hymenoptera; Cynipidae
Description: tRNA-Ser
Source: RNAcentral
GAAAUAAUUUAAAUUAUCUAAGUUUCUAACUUAAAAAAUAAAUGAAUUAAUCAUUUUUAUUUCU